Molecule: ribosomal RNA, 593 nt
Filed under: Streptomyces anulatus
Lineage: Bacteria; Bacillati; Actinomycetota; Actinomycetes; Kitasatosporales; Streptomycetaceae
Description: bacterial SSU rRNA
Rfam family: Bacterial small subunit ribosomal RNA
Source: RNAcentral
CGACGACGGGUAGCCGGCCUGAGAGGGCGACCGGCCACACUGGGACUGAGACACGGCCCAGACUCCUACGGGAGGCAGCAGUGGGGAAUAUUGCACAAUGGGCGAAAGCCUGAUGCAGCGACGCCGCGUGAGGGAUGACGGCCUUCGGGUUGUAAACCUCUUUCAGCAGGGAAGAAGCGCAAGUGACGGUACCUGCAGAAGAAGCGCCGGCUAACUACGUGCCAGCAGCCGCGGUAAUACGUAGGGCGCAAGCGUUGUCCGGAAUUAUUGGGCGUAAAGAGCUCGUAGGCGGCUUGUCACGUCGGAUGUGAAAGCCCGGGGCUUAACCCCGGGUCUGCAUUCGAUACGGGCUAGCUAGAGUGUGGUAGGGGAGAUCGGAAUUCCUGGUGUAGCGGUGAAAUGCGCAGAUAUCAGGAGGAACACCGGUGGCGAAGGCGGAUCUCUGGGCCAUUACUGACGCUGAGGAGCGAAAGCGUGGGGAGCGAACAGGAUUAGAUACCCUGGUAGUCCACGCCGUAAACGUUGGGAACUAGGUGUUGGCGACAUUCCACGUCGUCGGUGCCGCAGCUAACGCAUUAAGUUCCCCGCCNGGG